RNAcentral lists this ribosomal RNA (629 nucleotides) under uncultured bacterium. Its description in RNAcentral is "bacterial SSU rRNA". It matches the Rfam family "Bacterial small subunit ribosomal RNA", at positions 555 to 1182 of the family's 1533-position model. The record is from RNAcentral.
UGGGCGUAAGGGCGCGUAGGCGGCCUGUUAAGUCUGGAGUGAAAGUCCUGCUUUCAAGGUGGGAAUUGCUUUGGAUACUGGCGGGCUGGAGUGCAGGAGAGGUUAGCGGAAUUCCCGGUGUAGCGGUGAAAUGCGUAGAGAUCGGGAGGAACACCAGUGGCGAAGGCGGCUAACUGGACUGUAACUGACGCUGAGGCGCGAAAGUGUGGGGAGCAAACAGGAUUAGAUACCCUGGUAGUCCACACGGUAAACGAUGAAUGCUAGGUGUAGGGGGUAUCGACCCCUUCUGUGCCGGAGUAAACACAAUAAGCAUUCCGCCUGGGGAGUACGGCCGCAAGGUUGAAACUCAAAGGAAUUGACGGGGGCCCGCACAAGCAGCGGAGCAUGUGGUUUAAUUCGAAGCAACGCGAAGAACCUUACCAGGUCUUGACAUCCAGUUAAAGCCGUAGAGAUACGGUGUGCCCUUCGGGGCGAACUGAGACAGGUGGUGCAUGGUUGUCGUCAGCUCGUGUCGUGAGAUGUUGGGUUAAGUCCCGCAACGAGCGCAACCCUUAUUUUUAGUUACUAACGGGUAAAGCCGAGGACUCUAAAGAGACUGCCGGGGACAACUCGGAGGAAGGUGGGGACGA